RNAcentral lists this ribosomal RNA (420 nucleotides) under uncultured bacterium. Its description in RNAcentral is "bacterial SSU rRNA". It matches the Rfam family "Bacterial small subunit ribosomal RNA", at positions 64 to 479 of the family's 1533-position model. The record is from RNAcentral.
GAACGGUAGCAGGUCCUUCGGGAUGCUGACGAGUGGCGGACGGGUGCGUAACGCGUGGGAAUUUGCCCAAUAGUGGGGGAUAACCCGGGGAAACUCGGGCUAAUACCGCAUACUCCCUACGGGGGAAAGCGGGGGACCGUAAGGCCUCGCGCUAUUGGAUGAGCCCGCGUCCGAUUAGCUUGUUGGUGGGGUAAAGGCCUACCAAGGCGACGAUCGGUAGCUGGUCUGAGAGGACGACCAGCCACACUGGGACUGAGACACGGCCCAGACUCCUACGGGAGGCAGCAGUGGGGAAUAUUGGACAAUGGGGGAAACCCUGAUCCAGCAAUGCCGCGUGUGUGAAGAAGGCCUGCGGGUUGUAAAGCACUUUCGGCAGGAAAGAAAAGUCAUGCGCCAAUACCGCAUGACCUUGACGCUACC